This 253-nucleotide ribosomal RNA is filed under the name Anaerobutyricum hallii. RNAcentral's name for it is "partial 16S ribosomal RNA". It matches the Rfam family "Bacterial small subunit ribosomal RNA", at positions 524 to 776 of the family's 1533-position model. Lineage: Bacteria; Bacillati; Bacillota; Clostridia; Lachnospirales; Lachnospiraceae. The record is from RNAcentral.
UACGUAUGGAGCAAGCGUUAUCCGGAUUUACUGGGUGUAAAGGGUGCGUAGGUGGCAGUGCAAGUCAGAUGUGAAAGGCCAGGGCUCAACCCCGGAGCUGCAUUUGAAACUGCAUAGCUAGAGUACAGGAGAGGCAGGCGGAAUUCCUAGUGUAGCGGUGAAAUGCGUAGAUAUUAGGAGGAACACCAGUGGCGAAGGCGGCCUGCUGGACUGUUACUGACACUGAGGCACGAAAGCGUGGGGAGCAAACAGG